Varanus komodoensis (Komodo dragon) is the source of this 241-nucleotide long non-coding RNA. RefSeq lists it as uncharacterized. The transcript is spliced from 3 exons. Lineage: Eukaryota; Metazoa; Chordata; Lepidosauria; Squamata; Varanidae. The record is from RefSeq and is a predicted model, not a curated record.
CGUGAGCGGGCAGCCCGACACCCCCAUGCCGCUGCACCCAGAACUUGCAGAUGAACAUUUCCACUUCCUGUGGGAGAAGAAGAGGCAGAGAGGGAAAACUCUGAAAGAAACCCUGGAGACGCUGGACGAGAGAGAAGUGCUUAAAACCGUCCUGAUGUCCAUUUACCAGUCUCUCCAGUAUCCGUCCGCUGUGGACCAGGAAGCAGCCGGACUGCAGAACAGCACAUUGUUCCUCAACAAG